Molecule: ribosomal RNA, 253 nt
Filed under: uncultured bacterium
Lineage: Bacteria
Description: partial 16S ribosomal RNA
Rfam family: Bacterial small subunit ribosomal RNA
Source: RNAcentral
UACGAAGGGGGCUAGCGUUGCUCGGAAUUACUGGGCGUAAAGCGCGUGUAGGCGGCUUGGCAAGUCGGGUGUGAAAGCCCUGGGCUCAACCUAGGAAGUGCACUCGAAACUGCUUCGCUUGAGUGUCGGAGAGGAAAGCGGAAUUCUCGGUGUAGAGGUGAAAUUCGUAGAUAUCGAGAGGAACACCGGUGGCGAAGGCGGCUUUCUGGACGAUUACUGACGCUGAGACGCGAAAGCGUGGGGAGCAAACAGG